GCUGGUAUAGCUCAAAGGUAGAGCCGCUGAUUUGUAAUCAGAAGGUUGGGGGUUCAAUUCCCUUUAUCAGUU
This is a non-coding RNA of Eimeria tenella, 72 nucleotides long. Lineage: Eukaryota; Apicomplexa; Conoidasida; Eucoccidiorida; Eimeriidae. The record is from Rfam.